UCGGAGGGGCGUGGAUCACGUGAUGGGCAGCCGCCCCCGCUACAGGCUGGCUGUAGGGGUGACGUCACCACCCUGCCUGCAGGGGGUGGCACUUCCGUUUUCUUUUACCCCAGGGCUGCUCCUCAGCUCCUGGCACCCUGAGAGGGUUGAGUAGUCGUCUGAGGUCAUCAGGUGGUUUGGCAGCUAUUGGGAAGCCAGCGCAGGGGUCUGAAGCUGAAGCCAGGCGACCUCUCGAUUCGCCCCAUUGUGCGUUCAGUGGGCGCGGACGGUGCCGGGUGCCAGCCCCCUGCGGCUCCCAGCUCCAACAGGGCGGGGAGGACUUUGUGCGGUCAAGGCUGAGUCUGGCCACCAGCUGGAUCCUGAGUUCCGAAGAACUAGGGUCUCACUCGCCGGACUCGCCCUCCGGGCGCCAGGUGGUUAGGAACCCAUUCUGUGGCUGGGCUCCAUGGCCCGGCUUGGUGGGUGUGUGGUCAGAGUCCUCACCACUGGAGCGACUCAAUUCCAGCAGCCCUUAAGAGCUAUUUUUGAGGAAACUCUGGGUUCUGGUGACUCAGCUCCGUGAGCGCUAUUUAUAGCCUCCAGAGGACAUGGAAGAAGGAAGCUUUCUUGCUCUUUGCCAGCUUCCGCUCCCGCUCCCUAGCAAGUCGAUUCCUUCACUGGCAUUAGACCAGCAGAGACAUCCAACCUCAAUGGACUGAACAACUACUGGAUUCAUGGACCUCCCAUUGGUAAACAACCAUUGUUGGCCUAGCUGGACAAUGGCCUGUAAGCCAUUCUAUAUAUACAUAUACAUAGAUUCGUACUGUAGGUUCUGUUCCUCUAGAGAACCCUGUCUAAUCACAGAUUUUGGUACCAGAAGUGGUUCUAGAGCAGCAGAAGUAUAAGGAUGAAUUUUUUAAACAUCUGGAAUAGGCUUUGCGCUUUGCCAACACCUAAGUUACUGAAGCCUCUCGGGAGCUUGGAGAGUACUGAGAGCUCAUGGUGUGAACUGUGACAAAUGAAUUUGAUUAUCCUGAUCCGCCAUGUGUGAGAAGCAAUGGAUUUGUUGAGUCUGCAUAUAAAACUUUUGACAAUUUGUGGAAGAAUAAGGAAAAUGCUGAUGCUGGUUGGCUGCUUCUACCACGUCUGGAUAAACUGACAAAGGAAAAGAAUGAACUCUGUGAUGAAAUUAACCAGCAUCUAACUUUCAUAAAUUUGAAAAAGGACAGCAGUGAACUCAGCAAUAAAACUAAGCACACUAGCUAGUAGCAGCAAUAUUCUAGCUACUGGUAAUAAGAGCCAAGUAUGGUCUUUUCAUUAAAUAAAAUAACUCAAACUCCUUA
This is a non-coding RNA of Myodes glareolus (Bank vole), 1322 nucleotides long. The record is from RefSeq and is a predicted model, not a curated record. NCBI's taxonomy places the organism in Eukaryota, Metazoa, Chordata, Mammalia, Rodentia, Cricetidae.